UACGAAGGGGGCUAGCGUUGCUCGGAAUCACUGGGCGUAAAGGGUGCGUAGGCGGGUCUUUAAGUCAGAGGUGAAAUCCUGGAGCUCAACUCCAGAACUGCCUUUGAUACUGAGGAUCUUGAGUACGGGAGAGGUGAGUGGAACUGCGAGUGUAGAGGUGAAAUUCGUAGAUAUUCGCAAGAACACCAGUGGCGAAGGCGGCUCACUGGCCCGUUACUGACGCUGAGGCACGAAAGCUAGGGGAGCAAACAGG
Molecule: ribosomal RNA, 253 nt
Filed under: uncultured bacterium
Lineage: Bacteria
Description: partial 16S ribosomal RNA
Rfam family: Bacterial small subunit ribosomal RNA
Source: RNAcentral